GGGGUGCUCGAGUGGCGAACGGGUGAGUAACACGUGAGUAACCUGCCCUUGACUUUGGGAUAACCUCAGGAAACUGGGGCUAAUACCGGAUAGGAGCUCCUGCUGCAUGGUGGGGGUUGGAAAGUUUCGGCGGUUGGGGAUGGACUCGCGGCUUAUCAGCUUGUUGGUGGGGUAGUGGCUUACCAAGGCUUUACGGGUAGCCGGCCUGAGAGGGUGACCGGCCACAUUGGGACUGAGAUACGGCCCAG
Molecule: ribosomal RNA, 248 nt
Filed under: uncultured Actinomycetales bacterium
Lineage: Bacteria; Bacillati; Actinomycetota; Actinomycetes; Actinomycetales
Description: partial 16S ribosomal RNA
Rfam family: Bacterial small subunit ribosomal RNA
Source: RNAcentral